AUGCUGCCGGAAAACAUGCUGAAGAAAGCAAAGAAGUCUGAAGAAUCAGAAUCGGGGAACCAUCAAGCACCUACUGAGAGCCCAUCCCGAGCCCUGCAUUCUGCUGGCCCUUAUGGGAAGUUAGAAGUAGAAGAGGUUCCUGGAGAGACCGGGAUGUCCACUGCCUCAAUGUUCUCAAGCGCUCCAGUCUCAGAGUGGGGCGGGGACCGAGCAGAACUGAAAAGCACCAGCAGCUGCUCCCCAGCUCGAGCCAACUGUUGCCAUGUGGGAAUGGAGGCUCAGUCUUGCCAGGUCAGCAAAUUUUUCCAAAACAGCUAGGAAUCAUGAUUUUUGCAUGAAACUUCUCCAUUUAAUAAGUUGACAAUGAGAAUUAAAAAACAAAAAACAGAAACAAAAAAUACUGUGUGGGCCAGCAAAUGCAUGGGCCAAAUUGAAUAGGUCUGCAGUCCUGAUUUGGCCUGCCAGUUUAUACCGGCUGCUUUAUAUUAUGAAUUCCCUCAGAAUUUAAAAAUGCUUACCACUCAAAAUGACUUGGUGACAUUUAUAGUGAUCUGUACACAUUUUGUGGAGAAAAAACUUGAAUAAGACUGCUUGCAUACAAAUUAUAAACUACAGAACUGGCAACUCUAGUCAUUUAGCACUACAGGGCAAAGUAACUUCUUGACAGAAUUUUUCACUUUCUUUCUUUCUUUUUUUUUAAGAGAGGGAGUCUUGCUUUGUUGUCCAGGCUAGAAUGCAGUAGCACAAUCAUAACUCACUGCUGCCUCCAACUCCUGGGCUCCCAGCUUAACCUCACGAAUAGCUGGGACCACAGGCAUAUGCCACUGCACCUGGCUUAUUUUUUAACACUUUUUAUAUCGUAGAGACGAAGUCUCACAUUUUUCCAAGUCUGGUCUUUAACUCCUGGGCUCGAGCCUCCCCAAGUCCUGGGAUUAUAGGCAUGAACCACUGCUCCUGGCCACAAAAUUUUUAUUUCUAAAUAAUUGCUGUGAUAUGUAGAGUCAGCCUAAAUUAUGUAUGUAUCAAGUCUUAACAAUGUAUUUUCCAGGAUGGACACUACCACCAUUAUUGCCCCCAACACACAGACACACACACACACACACACACAAUGACACCUUUAGAAGAUUAUUUUGGGUUCCUGCAAAAUUAUUAUUGCUGGAAAUAUCACUUUCAGUUUUGGUGAUACUCAUUAAUAAAAUGCAUAAAUCAUUUGUCCUUGUAUCAAAAUAAGUUUGUUAGCAUAUUUUCGAAGUGUAACAUGCAUACUGAAAUAUGCAUGAAUCAUAAAGAUACAGCUUAGAUGAGUUUCAAAAAGUAAGCACACCCAAAUAAUCAACACCCAUCUCAAGAAAAAGAACAUUACCAGAAAAUCAUAAACUAGCACAUAUGGGGUAUUACUACUCUUAAUCUUAAAAUAUCUAGAAAUGAGACUCUUUAUAGCAUACUUUAACUUUUUAAGAAGCAAGAACCAUUCUCCGUGAAUGAUUAAGUUAAAACAUACUUUAUUACUUUCUUUAAUUUUCCAACCUUAUUAAGCUGAUUAUUUUUUAAAGAAAAAUAACUUUCUAACUGAAGAAACUCAUAAAAAUCAUAUACGAAAAUCCCACAGCCAACAUCAUAAUCAAUGGUGAAAGAUUGAAAGCUUUUCCUCUAAGGUCAGAAAAAAGACAAGGAUGCCCACUUUUGCCACUUCUAUUCAACGUAAUACUUGAAGUCCCAGCUGAAGCAAUCAGGCAAGAAAAAGAGAUAAAAGGCAUCCAAAUUAGAAAACAAAUAAAUAUUCUCUCUGUUCACAGAUGACAUGGUCUCAUAUGCAGAAAGCCUUAAGGAAGGCCAGGUGCACUGGCUGAUGCCUGUAAUCCCAGCACUUUGGGAUGUUGAGGUGGGUAGAUAACUUGAGAUCAGGAGUUCGAGACCAGCCUGGCCAACAUGGCAAUACUCUGUCUCUACUAAAAACACAAAAACUAGCCAGGUUUGGUGGUGCAGGCUACUUCGGAGGCUGAGGCAGGAGAAUUGCUCAAACCUAAGAAGCAGAGUUUGCAGUAAGCCAAGAUGGCACCACUGCAACUCCUGUUUUUUUUUUUUUUCUCUCUGUUUGCUUGUUAAAUCUUCCUCCAUUCCUUUAUUUUGAGCCUUUGUGUAUCCUUGCAUGUGAGAUGGGUUUCCUGGAUACAGCACAUAAUAUUGUUAUGUGUGAAUUUGAUCCUGCCAUUUUGAUGCUAGCUGGCUGUUUUGCCCAUUAGUUGAUGCAGUUUCUUCAUUGUGUUGUUGCUCUUUACUAUUUGGUAUGUCUUUGGAAUGGCUGGUACUGGUUGUUCCUUUCUAUGUUUAGUGCCUCUUUCAGGAGCUCUUGUAAAGCAGGCCUGAUGUUGAUGAAAUCUCUGAAUUCUUGCUUGUUCACAAAGGAUUUUAUUUUUCCUUCACUUAUGAAGCUUAGUUUGGCUGGAUAUGAAAUUCUGGGUUGAAAGUUCUUUUCUUUAAGGAUGCUGAAUAUUGGCCCCCACUCUCUUCUGGCUUGUAGGGUUUCUGCUGAGAGAUCUGCUAUGAGUCUGAUGGGCUUCCCUUUGUGGGUAACCCAAACUUUCUUUCUGGCUUCCCUUAGCAUUUCUCCUUCAUUUCAACCUGCUGCAUCUGACGAUUAUGUGCCUUGGGGUUGCUCUUCUUGAGAAAUAUCUUUGUGGUGUUCUCUGUAUUUCCUGGACUUAAAUAUUGACCUGCCUUGCUAUGUUGGGGAAGUUUUCCUGGAUAGUAUCCAGAAGAGUAUUUUCCAGCUUGGAUUCAUUCUCUCCAUCACAUUCAGGUACACCUAUCAAACGUAGAUUAGGUCUUUUCACAUAGUCCCAUAUUUCUUGGAGACUUUGUUCAUUCCUUUUUACCCUUUUUUCUCUAAUCUUGCCUUCUCAUUUUAUAUCAUUGAGUUGAUCUUCAACCUCUGAUAUCCUUUCUUCUGCUUGGUCAAUUUGGCUGUUGAAACUUGUGCAUGCUUUGUGAAGUUCUCGUGUUGUGUUUUUCAGCUCCAUCAAUUCACUUAUAUUCCUCUCUAAGUUGUCUAUUCUCAUUAGCAUUUCAUCAAAUCUUUUUUUUUCAAGGUUCUUAGUUUCUUUGCAUUGGGUUAGAACAUGUUCUUUUAGCUCACAGAAGUUUCUUAUUACCCACCUUCUGAAGCCUGAUUCUGUCAAUUCAUCACAUUCAUUCUCCAUCCAGCCUUGUUCCCUUGCUGGUGAGGAGUUGUGAUCCCUUAUAGGAGGAGAGGUGUUCUGGUUUCAGGUGUUUUCAUCCUUUUUGUGCUGGUUUCUUCCCAUCUUUGUGGAUUUAUUCACCUGUUGUCUUUGUAGUUGUUGACUUUCAGAUUGGGUCUCUGAGUGGAUGUCCAGUUUGUUGAUGAUGAAGUUAUUUCUUUUUGUUUCUUAGUUUUCCUUCUAACAGUCUGGCCCCUCUGCUGUAGGACUGCUGAUGUCCACUCCAGGCCCUGCUUGCCUGGGGAUCACCUGCAGUGGCUGCAGAACAGUAAGGGUUGCUGCCAGUUUCUUCUGCUGCUAUCUUUGUCCCAAAAGGAUACCCGCCAAAUGUCAGUCUGAGUUCUCCUUUAUGAGGUGACUCUUUGGAUAUACGGGGUCAGGGAGCUGCUUGAGGAGACAGUCUGUCCUUUAUAGGACAUAGACCAAGCAAACCUAAUAGACAUUUAUAGAACUCUCCACCCCAAAUCCAUAGAAUAUACAUUCUUCUCAGCACCACAUCGCACCUACUCUAAAAUUGACCACAUAAUUUGAAGUAAAUCACUCCUCAGCAAAUGCAAAAGAAUGGAAAUCAUAACAAACAGUCUCUCAGACCACAGUGCACUCCAACUUGGGCAACACAAAGGGACUCUAUCUCAAAAAAACAAACAAAAAUCACUAAAAACUGCACACACGCAAACACACACACACACACACACACACACCAUUAUCUCAAUUGAUGCAGAGAAGGCCUUUGACAAAAUUCAACAGCCCUUUAUACUAAAAACCCUCAAUAAACUAGGUAUUGACAGAACAUAUCUCAAAAUAAUAAAAGCUAUUUAGGACAAACCGACAGCCAAUAUCAUACUGAAUGGGCAAAAACUGGAAGCAUUCCCUUUGAAAUCCGGCACUAGACAAGGAUGCCCUCUUUCACCACUCAUAUUCAAUAUAGUACUGAAAGUUCUAGCCAGAGCAAUCAGGCAAGAAAAAGAAAUAAAGGGUAUUCAAAUAGGAAAGGAGGAAGUCAAAUUGUCUCUAUUUGCAGACGACAUGAUUGUAUAUCUAGAAGACCCCAUCGCCUCAGCCCAAAAUCUCCUGAAACUGAUAAGCAACUUCAGCAAAGCCUCAGGAUACAAAAUCAAUGUGCAAAAAUCACAAGCAUUUCUAUACACCAAUAAAAGACCUAAAGAGAGCCAAAUCAAGAACAAACUGCCUUUCACAAUUGCUACAAAAAGAAUAAAAUACCUAGGAAUACAUGCAAAGAUACAUAAAGAGUCAAAACAAAGGGAUGGAGAAAGAUUUGUCAACCAAAUGGAGAGCAAAAAUAAAUAAAUAAAUAAAAAGAAGAGGUUGCCAUUCUCACCUCUGACGGAAUGGAUUUUAAAGCAACAAAGAUCAAAACAGGACAUAAUGGUAAAGGAUCAAUGCAACAAGAAGAGCUGAUGAUCCUGGAUGUGUACUCAACCAAUACAGGAUACAUAAGACUUGUAAAGAGACUUGGACUCCCACACAGUAGUAGCGGGAGAUUUCAACAUCAACAUUAGAUAGAUCAAUGAGACAGAAAAUUAAUAAGGAUAUCCUGGACUUGAACUCAGAUCCGGAACAAGUAAACUUAAUAAACAUUUAUAGAACUCUCCACUUUAAACACACAAGAUAUGCACUCUUAUCAGUACCACAUCACAUCUACUCACAUGUUUAAAUGAAAUAUUGGUUGGCCAUUAUUAAGCACAAUUGGUAUAAAGGAGGUUUCCAAUACCCAUUUUUAGACUGCAUGCUAGCCUGGGCAAUUAAGCAACAGUCCUGUUCUCUCUCCCUCCUCCUCUUCCUCUUUUUUCCUCUUCUUCAUUACCUUUCUUUCUCUCUUUCUUUUAAAAAAAAACAUAUUUGAAAAAAAAAAAACAAACGUAGGAAUACAGCUAACAAGGAACAUAAAGGACCUCUUCAAGGAGAACUACAAACCACUGCUCAAUGAAAUAAAAGAGGACACAAACAGAUGGAGAAACAUUCCAUGUUCAU
This 5231-nucleotide long non-coding RNA is filed under the name Callithrix jacchus (white-tufted-ear marmoset). Its description in RNAcentral is "lncRNA (ENSCJAG00000084475.1)". Lineage: Eukaryota; Metazoa; Chordata; Mammalia; Primates; Cebidae. The record is from RNAcentral.